RNAcentral lists this ribosomal RNA (466 nucleotides) under uncultured bacterium. RNAcentral's name for it is "bacterial SSU rRNA". It matches the Rfam family "Bacterial small subunit ribosomal RNA", at positions 33 to 507 of the family's 1533-position model. The record is from RNAcentral.
GACGACGCUGGCGGCGUGCCUAACACAUGCAAGUCGAACGGGGGUAUUUAUUUCGAUGAAUACCUUAGUGGCGAACGGGUGAGUAACGCGUGAGCAACCUAUCCUUAAGAGGGGGAUAACAUCUGGAAACAGAUGCUAAUACCGCAUAAGACCACACUGCCGCAUGGCAGAGGGGUCAAAGGAGCAAUCCGUUUAAGGAGGGGCUCGCGUCCCAUUAGAUAGUUGGUGAGGUAACAGCUCACCAAGUCAGCGAUGGGUAGCCGAGCUGAGAGGCUGAUCGGCCACACUGGAACUGAGACACGGUCCAGACUCCUACGGGAGGCAGCAGUGGGGAAUAUUGGGCAAUGGGGGGAACCCUGACCCAGCAACGCCGCGUGAGGGAAGAAGGCCUUCGGGUUGUAAACCUCUGUCAUUAGGGAAGAAGAAAGUGACGGUACCUAAUGAGGAAGCCCCGGCUAACUACGUG